GUUGAAACACCAGUCCUCUUACGAUUACCGAAGUUAAGCAACGUCAAACCUGGCAAGUAUCUAGAUGGGUGUCCGCUUGGGAAUACCAAGUGCUGUAAG
Molecule: non-coding RNA, 99 nt
Organism: Acanthosepion pharaonis
Lineage: Eukaryota; Metazoa; Mollusca; Cephalopoda; Sepiida; Sepiidae
Source: the annotation of a GenBank genome assembly